GACAGGAAGUGGGCUCCAACCAAGGCGCAGAUGCCAUAACCCCUGCAGAGGGUACAAGCGCUCUGCUCCAUCUGGACACGUAGCGGCGUGAGCGGGCGGCAGAAAACAAGCAGAGCUGAGGUGGAGAGGCGGCAGAGUGUCUGGUCGGCCGAGUUCAAAAGGGAGUAAUGAGGGAGCAGCUUUGAAGUGCAGGGAGCACAGAACAUCGAGGAGAAGACCACCUCCAUUGGAGCUCGGGUUCUAAGUGGGUCAGAUGGAUGUCCCUCUGGUGUGAGCUGUGCAUCUUGUUUCAUUGCUACUGGAGCAGGCGAAUAUCCUCCGGGCCAGCGGGUUUAUUGCGUGUCACAGCCUGUGAGAUGGGAAUACAGUCUUUGCUGCAUCUGUUGCAGACAAUAUACCUUUUGAUCAACUGCACGACAGCCAUCUCCAGACUUCUUUUCAUUCCUCUUUUCAUGCACAAGUUCAGAGAGAAGCGUAUCUAUACAAAUAUAUGUAUAUUAUCAGCACUGCUGACCGAAAGAAAGUAUCUUUUAAAUCAUCCUUCAGUUUAGACCUUUCUUUCCUUUUGCAAUUAGUUCAAAAUGCACAAGUGUGGAAUUCAAAGUGUUAUGCAGGAUUCUUUAUCACAUGCUUGAUGUUUCAUCUCACAGCAGCCUGUUGGUGAAGAUGCUACUUGUUUCAGGAUUUGAUCAAAAUCUUCUUUGCUUGUGUUAUUAAAAAAAAAAACAUGUAAU
Non-coding RNA from Gasterosteus aculeatus aculeatus (three-spined stickleback), 734 nucleotides. The record is from RefSeq and is a predicted model, not a curated record. Lineage: Eukaryota; Metazoa; Chordata; Actinopteri; Perciformes; Gasterosteidae.